GACGAACGCUGGCGGCGUGCUUAACACAUGCAAGUCGAACGGAAAGGCCCUGCUUUUGUGGGGUGCUCGAGUGGCGAACGGGUGAGUAACACGUGAGUAACCUGCCCUUGACUUUGGGAUAACUUCAGGAAACUGGGGCUAAUACCGGAUAGGAGCUCCUGCUGCAUGGUGGGGGUUGGAAAGUUUCGGCGGUUGGGGAUGGACUCGCGGCUUAUCAGCUUGUUGGUGGGGUAGUGGCUUACCAAGGCUUUGACGGGUAGCCGGCCUGAGAGGGUGACCGGCCACAUUGGGACUGAGAUACGGCCCAGACUCCUACGGGAGGCAGCAGUGGGGAAUAUUGCACAAUGGGCGGAAGCCUGAUGAAGCACCGCCGCGUGCGGGAUGACGGCCUUCGGGUUGUAAACCGCUUUCGCCUGUGACGAAGCGUGAGUGACGGUAAUGGGUAAAGAAGCACCGGCUAACUACGUG
Molecule: ribosomal RNA, 468 nt
Filed under: uncultured bacterium
Lineage: Bacteria
Description: partial 16S ribosomal RNA
Rfam family: Bacterial small subunit ribosomal RNA
Source: RNAcentral